GACGAACGCUGGCGGCGUGCUUAACACAUGCAAGUCGAACGGAAAGGCCCUGCUGUUGUGGGUUGCUCGAGUGGCGAACGGGUGAGUAACACGUGAGUAACCUGCCCUUGACUUUGGGAUAACUUCAGGAAACUGGGGCUAAUACCGGAUAGGAGCUCCUGCUGCAUGGUGGGGGUUGGAAAGUUUCGGCGGUUGGGGAUGGACUCGCGGCUUAUCAGCUUGUUGGUGGGGUAGUGGCUUACCAAGGCUUUGACGGGUAGCCGGCCUGAGAGGGUGACCGGCCACAUUGGGACUGAGAUACGGCCCAGACUCCUACGGGAGGCAGCAGUGGGGAAUAUUGCACAAUGGGCGGAAGACUGAUGCAGCAACGCCGCGUGCGGGAUGACGGCCUUCGGGUUGUAAACCGCUUUCGCCUGUGACGAAGCGUGAGUGACGGUAAUGGGUAAAGAAGCACCGGCUAACUACGUG
Molecule: ribosomal RNA, 468 nt
Filed under: uncultured bacterium
Lineage: Bacteria
Description: partial 16S ribosomal RNA
Rfam family: Bacterial small subunit ribosomal RNA
Source: RNAcentral